UCCACAUUAUCCCUUGAAGCUUUACGGGCGUUAGGUUUUUCGCUUCUGAGCGCAGUGUAACCGUCCAUCUACAAUUGGAAUAUCUGGUUGAAAUAAAAGAAUUAGAAUUUUUAACCUUUUAUUUUAUUCUUUCCGAAGAAAAUCAACUCUCCAUUUGAUCCUUGAUUUCUUACUCUCAUGUUGAAAAAAAUUGAACGAAGAGGAAAAUGAAUCGUGUCGUUUUCCGAGUCUUUAGAGUAGCGCAGACACUCUAUUUAUUGUAACGGUACCCCGGACAGGGGCCGCUCUAGUUAAGCCACCAUCGUCGGUUCCUUUUGACCUAGCCUGUAUCUCUGACAUUUCACCGCUAUCAGUGCGCAUGGGGAUAUGUUCAUUUCACAUGUUGAUAUUGAGUUGAGAAAAUUAAUCAACAAAUCGAAGAUACACACGGAUCGAGUUCAACCCGUUAUCUCCCCGCGGCAGGGAAGAUCAAACCUAAAUAUGAUCAGUAGUUACCCCGUCACCGAAGGAUGUGGAAAUUGCUGCUGAUAGGAAGGUUGCAGCCCUGUUUAGCACUCGCCGUCUAAGCUUUCAGUUUCACAUCCAUCAUCCCCUUCACUUAAUGGAAUGGAGAAUCAGGCCCUGGAAAAGUUUAACAAAAUAACAUGAUUGUAAAUGGAUAUAGAUUAGCAGGGAAGUUGAAUAAAAUCAGGAGCUUGAUUCACCCUUUCUCAUUUUCUUCAAUCAUGAGCUUUUCUUAAUUUGGAUUGAAGUAGCCGUGCCAGGGCUUUAAGACCAUUCAUUCCUUUCGAAGCGGGAAUAGAUAGUAAUC
This 811-nucleotide small RNA is filed under the name Histoplasma capsulatum. Its description in RNAcentral is "hypothetical RNA". RNAcentral also lists the same sequence under 1 other name. Lineage: Eukaryota; Fungi; Ascomycota; Eurotiomycetes; Onygenales; Ajellomycetaceae. The record is from RNAcentral.